CGAAGAACCUUACCUGGGUUUGACAUAUACCGGAAAGCUGCAGAGAUGUGGCCCCCCUUCGUGGUCGGGUAUACAGGUGGUGCAUGGCUGUCGUCAGCUCGUGUCGUGAGAUGUUGGGUUAAGUCCCGCAACGAACGCAACCCUAUCUUAUGUUGCCAGCACGUUAUGGUGGGGACUCGUAAGAGACUGCCGGGGUCAACUCGGAGGAAGGUGGGGACGACGUCAAGUCAUCAUGCCCCUUAUGUCCAGGGCUUCACACAUGCUACAAUGGCCAGUACAGAGGGCUGCGAGACCGUGAGGUGGAGCGAAUCCCUUAAAGCUGGUCUCAGUUCGGAUCGGGGUCUGCAACUCGACCCCGUGAAGUCGGAGUCGCUAGUAAUCGCAGAUCAGCAACGCUGCGGUGAAUACGUUCCCGGGCCUU
RNAcentral lists this ribosomal RNA (421 nucleotides) under uncultured Rhodococcus sp. Its description in RNAcentral is "bacterial SSU rRNA". It matches the Rfam family "Bacterial small subunit ribosomal RNA", at positions 962 to 1382 of the family's 1533-position model. The record is from RNAcentral. Lineage: Bacteria; Bacillati; Actinomycetota; Actinomycetes; Mycobacteriales; Nocardiaceae.